ACUCCUACGGGAGGCAGCAGUGGGGAAUAUUGGACAAUGGGCGAAAGCCUGAUCCAGCCAUGCCGCGUGUGUGAAGAAGGUCUUCGGAUUGUAAAGCACUUUAAGUUGGGAGGAAGGGCAGUAAGUUAAUACCUUGCUGUUUUGACGUUACCAACAGAAUAAGCACCGGCUAACUUCGUGCCAGCAGCCGCGGUAAUACGAAGGGUGCAAGCGUUAAUCGGAAUUACUGGGCGUAAAGCGCGCGUAGGUGGUUCAGCAAGUUGGAUGUGAAAUCCCCCGGGCUCAACCUGGGAACUGCAUCCAAAACUACUGAGCUAGAGUACGGUAGAGGGUGGUGGAAUUUCCUGUGUAGCGGUGAAAUGCGUAGAUAUAGGAAGGAACACCAGUGGCGAAGGCGACCACCUGGACUGAUACUGACACUGAGGUGCGAAAGCGUGGGAGCAAACAGGAUUAGAUACCCCUGGUAGGAUAGCG
This 474-nucleotide ribosomal RNA is filed under the name uncultured bacterium. Its description in RNAcentral is "bacterial SSU rRNA". It matches the Rfam family "Bacterial small subunit ribosomal RNA", at positions 335 to 799 of the family's 1533-position model. The record is from RNAcentral.